This 462-nucleotide ribosomal RNA is filed under the name Salmonella enterica. RNAcentral describes it as "partial 23S ribosomal RNA". It matches the Rfam family "Bacterial large subunit ribosomal RNA", at positions 187 to 688 of the family's 2925-position model. Lineage: Bacteria; Pseudomonadati; Pseudomonadota; Gammaproteobacteria; Enterobacterales; Enterobacteriaceae. The record is from RNAcentral.
GGGGAACUGAAACAUCUAAGUACCCCGAGGAAAAGAAAUCAACCGAGAUUCCCCCAGUAGCGGCGAGCGAACGGGGAGGAGCCCAGAGCCUGAAUCAGCAUGUGUGUUAGUGGAAGCGUCUGGAAAGGCGCGCGAUACAGGGUGACAGCCCCGUACACAAAAGCGCAUGUGCUGUGAGCUCGAUGAGUAGGGCGGGACACGUGGUAUCCUGUCUGAAUAUGGGGGGACCAUCCUCCAAGGCUAAAUACUCCUGACUGACCGAUAGUGAACCAGUACCGUGAGGGAAAGGCGAAAAGAACCCCGGCGAGGGGAGUGAAAAAGAACCUGAAACCGUGUACGUACAAGCAGUGGGAGCACAGGUUUACCUGUGUGACUGCGUACCUUUUGUAUAAUGGGUCAGCGACUUAUAUUCUGUAGCAAGGUUAACCGUAUAGGGGAGCCGUAGGGAAACCGAGUCUUAAC